GACGAAGGGGGCUAGCGUUGUUCGGAAUUACUGGGCGUAAAGCGCGUGUAGGCGGUUGGUCAAGUCAGGUGUGAAAGCCUUGAGCUCAACUCAAGAAAUGCACUUGAUACUGGAUGACUAGAGGACCGGAGAGGAUAGUGGAAUUCCCAGUGUAGUGGUGAAAUACGUAGAGAUUGGGAAGAACACCAGUGGCGAAGGCGGCUAUCUGGACGGUUUCUGACGCUAAGACGCGAAAGCGUGGGGAGCAAACAGG
This 253-nucleotide ribosomal RNA is filed under the name uncultured bacterium. RNAcentral describes it as "partial 16S ribosomal RNA". It matches the Rfam family "Bacterial small subunit ribosomal RNA", at positions 524 to 776 of the family's 1533-position model. The record is from RNAcentral.